RNAcentral lists this small RNA (336 nucleotides) under Cistanche tubulosa subsp. tubulosa. Its description in RNAcentral is "eukaryotic LSU rRNA". The stretch from base 1 to 94 matches the Rfam family "5.8S ribosomal RNA", at positions 63 to 154 of the family's 154-position model. Lineage: Eukaryota; Viridiplantae; Streptophyta; Magnoliopsida; Lamiales; Orobanchaceae. The record is from RNAcentral.
UGGUGUGAAUUGCAGAAUCCCGUGAACCAUCGAGUCUUUGAACGCAAGUUGCGCCCAAAGCCUUUUGGCCAAGGGCACGUCUGCUUGGGCGUCACGCAUCGUGUUGCCCCCUCCUCUGUCCUUCUGGGACAAUGCUUAGGUGGGGGCGGAUAAUGGCCUCCCGUUCGUCAUGACGUGCGGUUGGUCCAAAUGAGAUCCUGCGGCGAUGCACGUCGCGACCAGUGGUGGUUGAACUCUCAACUCAACUCUCGUGUCGUUGUGACGUUUGGCGUUGUGCGGUGGGAUUAUUGCAUACCCAAUCGUGCGAUCUAUUUCGCGCUUUCGACCGCGACCCCA